CAAAACACUCUCCUCCUUGAAAGCAACCGAAACUUGGUGUUGUUGGUGUCCAUAGUAGGCCGGAUUUCAGCUGAACUUCACUUGAAGCUUGGGGAUAGAGGGAGGAUCUUUUCACUAGUAGCUUUUCAGAGCGGCUAGCAAUCCGUAGCGAGCUGUAGUUCGCGGGACUUGGUGAACCCAACUCUGUAGCUCGGAGCCAGUUAGACUCUCGCACUGUAUAAUUCCUUAUUUCUGGCAAUAAUUAUUAUUUUAAUUACUGCAUUGUUUAAUAAUUUCAUUUAUUAAUUAUUUUAUUAUUGCAUUAUUUAUUCAGUAUCUCUAUUGUCUGUAUUUUGAAUUUCUGCGGAUUUUUAGUACAUCUUCAUUUCUGGCUCACCCAGCUAGGAGGAGUAAGUCCUAGCCAUGUGCACAUGUUUUUCUGUAUUAGCGCUACCGGACAUGCGUGUCCGUUCUGACUGCGGUCGAAGAUCCAGCUCCGGCUGUUGAUAUUCUGUUCUGUUCCGACUUCACAGUCGAUGAUCAAGCUUCAUGCUGUUGAUUUCUGUUAUCAGUCAGGGAGAUGAGAAGAUCAAGCUUAGGUUCAGUGGGUUAUUCUGGGGCUUCUUUUGUAGUUGUGAUUUGUCAGUACCUGUUCCUUGAGGUUGUGAACCUUGUGUGCUAUUUUAUUCUGUACGAGUGAGACUUGUAUCAUGUUUGUGUAUUUUGGCAUGUAAACUAUUUGUGUACUCUGUAGGACUGUCACAGUCCAUUUCUGUAUUAUCCCAAUUUCUGUGACUCUCUCUUUAGUCAAUAUUAUUGUUUCUAUUCUGCUUGUUAGGGUUGACUCUGACCAGGUUAAUCUGAGGCCUUGCACCCAGUGGGGCCCAGUUCCAUUGGAUGCGGCC
This is a long non-coding RNA of Dioscorea cayenensis subsp. rotundata (Guinea yam), 884 nucleotides long. RefSeq lists it as uncharacterized. Lineage: Eukaryota; Viridiplantae; Streptophyta; Magnoliopsida; Dioscoreales; Dioscoreaceae. The transcript is spliced from 3 exons. The record is from RefSeq and is a predicted model, not a curated record.